This 486-nucleotide ribosomal RNA is filed under the name uncultured Desulfobulbus sp. RNAcentral's name for it is "bacterial SSU rRNA". It matches the Rfam family "Bacterial small subunit ribosomal RNA", at positions 903 to 1382 of the family's 1533-position model. The record is from RNAcentral. Lineage: Bacteria; Pseudomonadati; Thermodesulfobacteriota; Desulfobulbia; Desulfobulbales; Desulfobulbaceae.
UACAAUAGAAUUGACGGGCCCGCACAAGCGGUGGAGUAUGUGGUUUAAUUCGAUGCAACGCGAAGAACCUUACCUGGUCUUGACAUCCCGGAGACCCUUAGGAAACUAGGGGGUGCUUCCAUCUGGAAGAAUCUGGAGACAGGUGCUGCAUGGCUGUCGUCAGCUCGUGUCGUGAGAUGUUGGGUUAAGUCCCGCAACGAGCGCAACCCUUGCCUUUAGUUGCCAGCAGUUCGGCUGGGCACUCUAAAGGGACUGCCGGUGUUAAACCGGAGGAAGGUGGGGAUGACGUCAAGUCCUCAUGGCCUUUAUGACCAGGGCUACACACGUACUACAAUGGCCGAUACAAAGGGCAGCGACACUGCGAGGUGAAGCCAAUCCCGUAAAAUCGGUCUCAGUCCGGAUUGGAGUCUGCAACUCGACUCCAUGAAGUUGGAAUCGCUAGUAAUCGUGGAUCAGCAUGCCACGGUGAAUACGUUCCCGGGCCUU